Molecule: ribosomal RNA, 443 nt
Filed under: uncultured bacterium
Lineage: Bacteria
Description: partial 16S ribosomal RNA
Rfam family: Bacterial small subunit ribosomal RNA
Source: RNAcentral
CCUACGGGGGGCAGCAGUGGGGAAUAUUGGGCAAUGGGCGCAAGCCUGACCCAGCAACGCCGCGUGAAGGAAGAAGGCUUUCGGGUUGUAAACUUCUUUUCUCAGGGACGAAGAAAGUGACGGUACCUGAGGAAUAAGCCACGGCUAACUACGGGCCAGCAGCCGCGGUAAUACGUAGGUGGCAAGCGUUCUCCGGAUUUAUUGGGUGGAAAGGGCGUGUAGGCGGGAGGGCAAGUCAGAUGUGAAAACUCAGGGCUCAACCCUGAGCCUGCAUUUGAAACUGUGUUUCUUGAGUGCUUGAGAGGCAAUCGGAAUGCCGUGUGUAGCGGUGAAAUGCGUAGAUAUACGGAGGAACACCAGUGGCGAAGGCGGAUUGCUGGACAGUAACUGACGCUGAGGCGCGAAAGCGUGGGGAGCAAACAGGAUUAGAUACCCGGGUAGUC